UUAGCUUGGAUUGGCAUGACAUUUAGGAAAGGACUGCUGGGCAGCCUUGCUAAUGCAGGUAUUCCAAACAUAAUCCACAACAUGUUGCCACUGGAAGCAUGAUUAUUCAUAUAACUGAAAGAAUAAUGAAUUUCUCACAAGUUGGAAGAAGUUUCAGGUCAAUCUGAAAAACAUUUUUCAAGUUAAUGUAAGCAUGACUGAAUUUGGUUGAACACUUGAAAUGUUAGGAUUUCCUAACUUCCAUGCUAGGACUUCUUUUUUUUUUUGCACUUCAGACAGGAGAGUGUUUCACAGGGACACGCUUCAAAUGAAGUGCAGGCACAUGGCCCUGGACCAGACUGCUGUGAUGUGGUCAGGGAAAGCUGCGAGAUGAAGGGGGUUCCUCCACCUCUGCUCAGGAGCUUGACUUCCGCUCAGGCCCUCACCCUUGGUCCUUCACCUGUGCUGGACCAUGUGCUGCCCUGCUCCCCACUACAGGCUUGUCCCAGCCUUCCCUAUCUCUACGGACUCAUCUGAUGGAAAAACCAUUAACUGGGAGUAACGUUUGCCUUUUCAAUUGUCUGGGUCCUCCUCUGACCUCCAUGACCUGUUAAAGAUGAUAGACUGGCCUUGCAAGGAUACCAGCCAGUGCUCUCAGCACCAGUGGAUGCAACCAAUCAUGUCCUAUGGAUUUGUAUAGACCAAGCUUUCUCAAGAAGCCUUGACUCGAUCCUCUUGCACCAUUGGUAGAUUUGAGCCCUGUUUCUAAGCCUGGAGGCCUGUGAGACCUUCCUGCAACAGUGGUGUAAGGAGAAGUUGACCUGAUUUGAGAAGAAUUGAGAGUGGCUGUGAACUUGAAGGUGGGGCUGGAUUUAUGCAAGUCAUGCAAAUCUAGACUAGUCUAAAAUCUGAUGACGGAUUGCUCUUUCAAAGACUUAUUCAAGUGGGUGCAUUUAUGACCAUUUAAUAAUAUGGAAUCUUAUUCAUAAUCUCCCAUGCUGCCUACCCAUUCAUGCACUGAAUCAUAAAGUAAUGUAACUUAUUUUCUGAAGGAAGGGACUUCCUGUGAAAAUGGAGCUAUAGGCAAAUAAAUAAAAAAAAUAAUUAUCAGACACUUAAGAAAAUGUACAUCUUUUUUUUUCUGGCUUCCAGUUGUCCCAGUAAAUUUUGUAGUUAUUGAGAAUGAGCAAACAUUUAUUAUGUGCUUGGGGAUAGUAUAUCCUUUCUCUCAAAAUCUAAUCUUUUCUCAAACCAACACUUAGAAGGUGCUGAAAAAAAUACUUCCUCAGUCUAUCUUCCAGUGCCUGGUCUGUAAGGGGGAGAGGAGUAAAAAAUCUGUAUUAUGGGCUGCUCUUUAGUAUCUUACCACGACUGAAAGCAGAAGUGAUAGAAAUGUCAUGGGAACUUUUUCUAGUAAGCUUCCCUGUCCAUUUUUGUAAAGUCAGGAGAUGCAGAUAAGACUUUCUGUUUUUCAAAAUUAAUUUCUAAAUCUGAUAUUGAGUUAUAGAAAAGUGUUUCAAAUUGUUUCCUUGUACUGAGAGUCCCAAGGUGCUGUUUAACAUUUAAUAAAUUGUGUUGAUUUUUCAGUUGCCUAACAAAUUAAAUAUAGCAAUGGCUUUGUAUCUAUCUUUCCAUUGCACCAUACUGAAGAUGGAGACUGGAAGUACUGCUGAAAUAGCUGUCCCUUGUUCUAGUAAAGGACAUAAACUUUGCAUAUGAUAUUUGCAGCAGAAAUUUAUGCAAGGCAUGUGCAACUUCACCAAUGUCAAAUGUGAUGCAAUAGCUGGUGUUGUGGACCCAGCUGUUGAAUAAGCAAGUUUUUAAGAGUAUCAUAGUAAAUGCUUGGUGUUUGCAUAAAAGGUUUAAAGAGAGUUCUAAGUUUUAAUAUUUGCAACUGAGUAUGACUGAGGGAGUCACUUUCAAGAUGAAACCAUCUUCCCCAAAGAGGAAUCUGGGGGAUUUUAAUUCUCUAUUCACAAAACCUUCUUUUACGAAAUUGAAGGUUUGAUUAUUUUUGUUCUGUAAAGAACCUACCCUAAGUAAAUAGGUUUUGUUUUCUAUUUUGUCUCUGACGGUUUCCAGGAUAACUUCUUUUUGUGCUAAAAGGCUCAAAGCAUCAGUCAACAGUGUCUUCUAAAAGAAUAUUCUGGAAAUAGAUGUUUCCCUCCUCCACGCCUGUUUCGUCCCCCAGGAGAAAACAAAAAUCUGCCCCCCAGGGAGGCAGCAGACUAGUCAGACCAGAUGGAGGGUAGGGCUUGGCAAGGAAAUAUUGAGGAGGAAUGGUAAUUGGAGUAUUUAAUGUGUUUCAAAAUAAUCACUAUUAAAAAUAAAUAAAUAAAUGAAAUUAGUGUGUCGGAGUGUGAUGCUGCAUGUCCCAACCAGCUGCUUUAGGAAGGAGUGAAGGUCUGGUGAUACAGGGUAUGAACUGCUGCAGAAGGCUGCAGUCCAGAGGUGUGCUCCAAAUGGAGAGGGGCUUAUGAACUUCAAUCCAGAAGGGAAUUUGGCAAGUAAAUAAAGCAGCAGCACCUUGAAGUGGUGUGCCAUUUGAGCAUGCUGGGUUUUGAACUGGCAUUGGUGGUUCCUAUCUCUGUUCCCAAGGACCAAUCCCUAAGGAGCAAAGUCCUAGCAACUCUGAUUGUCCAAGUGCAAUCAGAAUCUGUUACAAGAAUGUAACUUCAAAGAAAAAAAAAAAAAGAAAAGGAAAGCACUAAAUGCCUCCCAAAGGACCCUCAGAAAGGUAUAAUGGUGAGAUCUGCCAUACUAUUUAGCAACCUCAUUAACAGGCAUUAAUGAAGUCCUGACUCUUGAUUACUCUGCAAAUCGGAAAAUAACUGUAUUGAAGACACCAAGCCUGAGUUUAAGAAGCAUUUGGACUGUGCUGUCAGUCAUAUGGUCUGAAUUUUUGGGUAGACCGGUGUGGUGCCAGGAGUUGGACUCGAUGAUCCUUAUGGGUCCCUUCCAACUCAGGAUAUUCUGUGAUUUUAUGAUUCUGUGAAGAAGAGGUGGCCUAGGAAAUCUUUUUUCACUUCUGAUCUCAGUUUCAAAUAUUGUGUCAGUCUGAAAAGGUAUAAAAAUAAAAUGACUGUAACUACAUGUAUAACAUGUAGAAAGAGAUGACCAUUGUGUGUAGAGGCAUUUAGUAGAAAGCAGGGUUACACAGUUUUGUUUCUCAGAGGUUAAACAGUACAAGCAGCAGAUAUUAGGGGAAAAAUCUUCAUGCUCUGUUUCCUGAUUUUGAAAGCAAACUCAGAUAGCUCUUCCGCUUCUGAAUUACAUAAAGACUGAAGUUAUCUGCGUUUCAAAAUCCUCCCAAGACAGCCCAACAGCUGUGUUGGAAAUAAAGACAAAAAUUUCACACUAACUAACUGUUGGUUAUGGGAUAAUUUUUAAAUAGUAUUUAAUUCAGAUUUAUUUUUCUGCUAGAGAAUUAAAUGCUCAGAUAAAUAAUUUGAGCAAACUCUUAUAAAUCCAAAUUUAAGCAGCUGACCCGUGGGCCCACUUUCCAAAAAUAACUACUUCUGUU
This is a long non-coding RNA of Anas platyrhynchos (mallard), 3502 nucleotides long. RefSeq lists it as uncharacterized. The record is from RefSeq and is a predicted model, not a curated record. Lineage: Eukaryota; Metazoa; Chordata; Aves; Anseriformes; Anatidae.